UACGAAGGGGGCUAGCGUUGCUCGGAAUUACUGGGCGUAAAGGGCGCGUAGGCGGACAGUUUAGUCAGAGGUGAAAGCCCAGGGCUCAACCUUGGAAUUGCCCUUGAUACUGGCUGUCUUGAGUUCGGGAGAGGUGAGUGGAAUGCCGAGUGUAGAGGUGAAAUUCGUAGAUAUUCGGCGGAACACCAGUGGCGAAGGCGACUCACUGGCCCGAUACUGACGCUGAGGCGCGAAAGCGUGGGGAGCAAACAGG
This 253-nucleotide ribosomal RNA is filed under the name uncultured bacterium. Its description in RNAcentral is "partial 16S ribosomal RNA". It matches the Rfam family "Bacterial small subunit ribosomal RNA", at positions 524 to 776 of the family's 1533-position model. The record is from RNAcentral.